GUCAAGCUGUGUCCGUGGAGAGAAAUGGACAGUGAACAUACCAGACAUCCAUGAAAACAGAGGAGUGCCCCAAAGAAAGAAUGACAAUUAAAAUGUUAGAACUCCAAAGUUCCCUGCCACGUACAAGCAGCAGCAAGGCGGAGGAGACGUCAGGAUGUGAAGCAUGGAGACCCAGUCAGCCAGUGCUGGGACCUGGAAGAAAGUGUAA
Long non-coding RNA from Mobula hypostoma (lesser devil ray), 208 nucleotides. RefSeq lists it as uncharacterized. NCBI's taxonomy places the organism in Eukaryota, Metazoa, Chordata, Chondrichthyes, Myliobatiformes, Myliobatidae. The transcript is spliced from 3 exons. The record is from RefSeq and is a predicted model, not a curated record.